UGCUGACAUGAGGCUCCAUUGGUGCACACCUAUGGCCUCAUGGGCCAAGUGCUGUCAAUGUUGCAGAUCUCUAGCUAUGCAUCCAUCAUCCUCAAAGCCACCUUGUCUUAACUUGGGCCAUUUGUGCCAGUACAAGGUCCCACUCACAGGCCUAACAGGUGACAUGUGGAGGCCCAAUUCUUAAUGCACAGUAUCCUUUCUUUUUAACCUUUGACAUGGUCCAAACAGCUCUAAUCUUAAGUUCCAUUGGGGUUUAUAUUUGAACCUUAAGAUUCCACAAGUUGAUUUGCUUUCACAUAUUCUCAUCCAUCCACAAGUGAUCAUCGCAACUGAAUAGCAAAUGCAGCAAGUAUACAUGCAAAUAUGGGAAGGAAGCAUUGGUCAGAAACAUGCAAACAUCAUCAAUCAGCAAAAAACUAGCAUUAAUUAGUUGAAGGCAAACUCAGAAAAGAUUUUAAUUAUUUUCUGACAAGUUUGAGUGGGAGUAUAAAAGAAUAAAUAAGCUUAAAACAUCGUGUUUACAAUUAAUACAGAAUCACUAAUAGACCUAACACCAAAUCCACCAACCUAGCUAACCCAUAAAAUUAGGUGAGUGUCGUGUCUAAGCAACAUAACUGAAACCCAAACCCGAAUUAUUGCCGCCCAUAACUUUGGCUGCACCAUGGAAGAAGGCACCUCUAGUGUUCCCAUCUAAUGUAAAUUAUGUAGCUACAAAUUAAAGUAAAUCUUAGUUUGUCAGCUCAAAAGACAGCAUAGGCUUACCCUAAUCACUGCAUUGAUCAGUAUCUCAGUCAAAUUAUCGUUUGAUUUGGAAAGAGGGAUAUUCUUUUACUCCCACCAAAAAUGGAAUCCGAUGUCCUAAAUCUGCAACCUUGUGUCCUGCAUUUUUCCCUUUAUCUUUUAAAUACAAGAUGCCAUAUGUUCUUUAAAGGAGAUACCAUACCUGCAGAUAUGGGAGUGAGGUUCAAUCAAGGUGUCUGCAAGCAGGCUAUAGUUGGGCCUUCCUCCAUCUCUUCCUUUCCUUCCUAGUGGUGUCCAGCUUAUUUUUUUUGAAUCUCAAUCCAAACUCUAGAGCUAUGUUCAUUGUGCCUGCCUUCUCAUUCACAGCGUGUACGGGACUACCUGGUGCAAAGGCAUGAUUGAACCUCACAUAUUUUUGGGCAGUGCUAUCCGGCCUAACUUGUUUAAAUCUGUUAUUAAAGCUAAGGUUCCAUGUCGCUUUGAUGCUACCAAACAUGCAGAUAUGCAGAUUUUCUUAAAAUAAGUAGUAUAGUUUUUGAGGAA
Vitis vinifera (wine grape) is the source of this 1284-nucleotide long non-coding RNA. RefSeq lists it as uncharacterized. The record is from RefSeq and is a predicted model, not a curated record. The transcript has 2 exons. Lineage: Eukaryota; Viridiplantae; Streptophyta; Magnoliopsida; Vitales; Vitaceae.